Long non-coding RNA from Amphimedon queenslandica, 617 nucleotides. RefSeq lists it as uncharacterized. The record is from RefSeq and is a predicted model, not a curated record. The transcript is spliced from 5 exons. Lineage: Eukaryota; Metazoa; Porifera; Demospongiae; Haplosclerida; Niphatidae.
AUUGAAGGGGUCUAUGAUCGAAUUUGAAGACUUGAAGUUCAUAAAAUUUGACUACAAUGAUUGGAAUUGCAGUCUUCAUUCCUUGCAAGUCGUUUCUUCACAAUAAUUUGAUAAAGAUAGUAAUAGAUCCAUUAGUCUUGAUGAGAUGAGGAAUGGAAUCAAAUUAUUAAUAAAAGGGUCACAACUGGAUAACUUACAUUUUAAUUUCAAGUUUACAAUGUUGAUGGUGAUGGUGCUAUUGACUAUGAUGAGUUGAACCAAGGCCUUGAAAGUUUAUCAAAUAUUGAUGAAGAAAUUUUAGAGACAAACAAAAUGCAUUUUUACAUGUAAUACCAGUUCUGCAAAACUUUGUCGGGAUAAAAAAAUUUUGGAGAGAUUUUGGCCUUCCUGGUUGCCAUGUAAACAUGUCAGAAAUGAUUGGUUGUAUUUCAUCUUUUUGUUUGUGUUCUUCAAAAUUAAUAUUUUACUGUUUGUAGACGCAGCAAUCAGAUACAAAAAAUCAACAUUUUAAUAUCAAUAGCCAGAGAUGCUGGUACUUGUCUCAUCAAGUAGUUGUCCUUAUACUAAUAUAUUGACACUCAUUCGAUCAGCAAGACUGUCUAUUUGACAAAUUAACU